GGAUCUGACCGCAGAGCGAGCGUUGAGGUCAUUCCGGGGAUAAAAGAGCGUCCGGUGGCAAACACAAGCUUUUACUGCACAUAAACAUGAGAUUUGAGACGCUCCGUGCAGACAAAAGGUGCGAAGAAGAGAUCUGCAGACGCUCACGUCAGCACCUGCAGACACUCGGCUCAUUAGGCUGAUUGGACGCAGGCUGUAGAAAGGCGACGUCUGCGCUGAGCUCACAUUAGAGGCGGUGGUCGGGUGAUCAGCGUGAGGAGUGUGUAGGAAUGGCCUGUGGAGUUCAUCUGGGGAUUUUGCUCGUUUGUUUGGUUCAGGCAGAGCGUGCACGCUGCUCCUGGUCUCAGCAAGCUCCGGCCUCCCAGAGACGCGGCGGCGGCGGGUACGCUGGCUCCGGCCCCCUCCAGGGUGAACUCAGACAGGCGCCUGUUUCCGCAGCCUCGGCCCACGGCGGUGGUUUGAGUGAGUGGACGCACGCGUCUGCUGACGGGCGGCAAACAAGCUGGCGGAGAGUGAAGGUUCAGAAACUGCCUCCAGCACAUCUGGACUGGUUUACUCCUAUUUCUAGCGGAAGCUCCAUCAACCAUUUUACUAGUAAAAAGACUAGUCACGAUCAGUCCAACCAGUAUCUGUUUAGCAAUGGUGUGUCUCCCAGUAAGACGUCAGACUCCCAGUCUCCAGCGCAGAGGCCUCAGGGUUCGGCUGCAGGGUCUCCGGGACCCGUGGGAGCAGAUGCGUCCUCUGAGGGUCAGACUUUGGCCUGUGGCCUUGGAAAAAGAGUGACUUCACGUCGUCGCCACGGGUCGUCUAAAGCCCCUCGUUUCCCCCCGCCUCCUAAUGAAAGGCCUCCGCAGAUCCCCGUCCGGCGAAACCCUCCCCAGAGCUCCACGCCUGCCUCCAACGCGGCCGUGAGCUGCGCGAGCUACGCUCCAGACUGGCCCCGCGGGCAAAGCGCCGCCAGGAGCCCGAGCAAGCGCGGCCGGUUCGGCUCGGCCUCUGGUGCGGGCUCUGGCCGGGCAAGCAGAACGUUCAGCAUCCCCCAGCGCCUGGGCGGACACGCCAUCAGGCGGCCGCCGGCGUGGAGCGAGCAGGAAGGCAGGAUCCUGAAGCCACAGCAGCCUGCGUCAUACAAGCCUCGGGGUCAGAAGGUCAGGUGGUACAAGGUCAAGCUGCGUCGCUGACCCACAGGUGCAGGAGUAAAAGAAUUGUUUUGAAAUAAAAGUUAAUUUAUGUAUUCCA
RNAcentral lists this long non-coding RNA (1239 nucleotides) under Betta splendens (Siamese fighting fish). RNAcentral's name for it is "lncRNA (ENSBSLG00000003034.1)". The record is from RNAcentral. Lineage: Eukaryota; Metazoa; Chordata; Actinopteri; Anabantiformes; Osphronemidae.